Molecule: ribosomal RNA, 253 nt
Filed under: uncultured bacterium
Lineage: Bacteria
Description: partial 16S ribosomal RNA
Rfam family: Bacterial small subunit ribosomal RNA
Source: RNAcentral
UACGGAGGAUCCAAGCGUUAUCCGGAAUCAUUGGGUUUAAAGGGUCCGUAGGCGGUUUUUUAAGUCAGAGGUGAAAUCCUGCAGCUCAACUGUAGAAUUGCCUUUGAUACUGAAAGACUUGAGUAUGGAUGAGGUGGUUGGAAUAUAACAUGUAGCGGUGAAAUGCAUAGAUAUGUUAUAGAACACCAGUGGCGAAGGCGGCUCACUGGCUCGAUACUGACGCUGAGGUGCGAAAGUGUGGGGAGCAAACAGG